RNAcentral lists this ribosomal RNA (320 nucleotides) under uncultured eukaryote. RNAcentral's name for it is "partial 18S ribosomal RNA". It matches the Rfam family "Eukaryotic small subunit ribosomal RNA", at positions 1470 to 1796 of the family's 1831-position model. The record is from RNAcentral.
CCCUUAGAUGUUCUGGGCUGCACGCGUGCUACAAUGGCGCUUGCAACAAGUCUUGCCAACCCGAUAGGGUGAGCGGAUCUUUGAAGAGGCGUCGUGAUCAGGACAGUUGAUUGCAAUUAUUCGACUCGAACGAGGAAUUCCUUGUAAUCGCGAUUCAUCAUAUCGCGCUGAAUACGUCCCUGCCCUUUGUACACACCGCCCGUCGCUCCUACCGAUUGAGCGAUCCGGUGAAUGUUUUGGACUGGCGUCAGAAGCGGUUCGCUCCUGACACUACGAAAUUUUGUAAACCUUAUCGCUUAGAGGAAGGAAAAGUCGUAACA